This 423-nucleotide ribosomal RNA is filed under the name uncultured Gardnerella sp. Its description in RNAcentral is "bacterial SSU rRNA". It matches the Rfam family "Bacterial small subunit ribosomal RNA", at positions 349 to 782 of the family's 1533-position model. Lineage: Bacteria; Bacillati; Actinomycetota; Actinomycetes; Bifidobacteriales; Bifidobacteriaceae. The record is from RNAcentral.
CAGCAGUGGGGAAUAUUGCGCAAUGGGGGAAACCCUGACGCAGCGACGCCGCGUGCGGGAUGAAGGCCUUCGGGUUGUAAACCGCUUUUGAUUGGGAGCAAGCCUUCGGGUGAGUGUACCUUUCGAAUAAGCGCCGGCUAACUACGUGCCAGCAGCCGCGGUAAUACGUAGGGCGCAAGCGUUAUCCGGAUUUAUUGGGCGUAAAGAGCUUGUAGGCGGUUCGUCGCGUCUGGUGUGAAAGCCCAUCGCUUAACGGUGGGUCUGCGCCGGGUACGGGCGGGCUAGAGUGCAGUAGGGGAAACUGGAAUUCUCGGUGUAACGGUGGAAUGUGUAGAUAUCGGGAAGAACACCAAUGGCGAAGGCAGGUUUCUGGGCUGUUACUGACGCUGAGAAGCGAAAGCGUGGGGAGCGAACAGGAUUAGA